RNAcentral lists this ribosomal RNA (495 nucleotides) under uncultured bacterium. RNAcentral's name for it is "bacterial SSU rRNA". It matches the Rfam family "Bacterial small subunit ribosomal RNA", at positions 24 to 518 of the family's 1533-position model. The record is from RNAcentral.
UCAGGAUGACGCUGGCGGCGUGCCUAACACAUGCAAGUCGAACGGAAACUAGGCGCUUCGGAGACUUCGGUCAAUGUUUGCUUAGUUUAGUGGCGGACGGGUGAGUAACGCGUGGAUAACCUGCCAUAUACAGGGGGAUAACAGUUAGAAAUGACUGCUAAUACCGCAUAAGCGCACAGUCUCGCAUGGGACAGUGUGAAAAACUCCGGUGGUAUAUGAUGGAUCCGCGUCUGAUUAGCCAGUUGGCGGGGUAACGGCCCACCAAAGCGACGAUCAGUAGCCGGCCUGAGAGGGUGAACGGCCACAUUGGGACUGAGACACGGCCCAAACUCCUACGGGAGGCAGCAGUGGGGGAUAUUGCACAAUGGGGGAAACCCUGAUGCAGCCGACGCCGCGUGAGUGAAGAAGUAUUUCGGUAUGUAAAGCUCUAUCAGCAGGGAAGAUAAUGACGGUACCUGACUAAGAAGCACCGGCUAAAUACGUGCCAGCCGCUGC